NNNNNNNNNNNNNNNNNNGGGGUGCCGGGGGCAGGGGAUCCCGGGCUGCUGCGGGUGCAGGGCCGGGGCAGGGAGGCCCUCGGGCAGGAGCCCCGGCGCAGCGGCGCGGCCCGCGUGUCCCGCGUGUCCCGCGUGUCCCGCGACGGCGCUCACCUGCGGUCCCUCGGCAGGCCGGCACAGCACGGGGCGCCGGGUGCGACGGUCCGGGGAGCUCGGUGCCGCGCCGGGGGGUUUUAUGGCCGCGCGGACGGGGAGGGGUGGGCAACGAGGCGCCGUCCGAAAUGUCACCGCUUCCCCAAAGCAAACAGGGCUCGCGCACCCGCGCCCCGUCGACGCACUCGCGGGAGCCGCCGGCGCGGUUCCAGCCCCGCCGCCCUUUGAUGGGGCGCCUCCGGCAGCCCGAGCCCUGGCUCCACCAGGCAGCCGCUCGGCGUGCCAAGGAGGCAGCCGGCUCCGGGAGCCGGGAAGAGCUUUCCUGGGAAGCGGCGGAGGCCUCCCCCGUGGUGGGGCCGGGCUGGCCGGCGGCUCGGUCCCGCGCCAGGCUCCGUGCGUCAGGCGCCCGCGAGCCCGGCCAAGCGCGUCCCGCCGAUCCGCACCAGCGCCCGGAGCCGCCCCGUGUCACCCGCCUCCCUGGCGCCGCCGGCACGGCCCUGGCGCUCCAGCUCCGUGUCCUGGGUGGCCGGAGUGGGGGCUGCACUGGGCRUCAGGCUUGGGGGGACCCAUCCCGGCACCGACGAGGGUUUCCCGCGGUGCAAAGGGACCAGCGGGACCCUGCGCCGGAGCAGGGUGUGAGCAUCCGCAUCCCGCAUCCUGCGUCCCCYGCAGCUCCUGGCUAUCACCCACAUGCCGGAGGAUUUUCCAGCUCCUGGCAGUGCUCGGUGCAGGGCCGAGACACAUUCCCAGCACUGCUGCAGCUCCCAGCUAUUAUCCACAUGGCAGCAGUUUUCCCGGCUCCCGGCAUCACUUGGUGCAGGGCCGAGACAUGCUUCCGGCACCUCCACGGCUCCCGGCUAUCGCCUGCACACUGGCGGGUUUCCCAGCUCCCGGCACCACUCGGUGCAGGGCCGAGACACGUUCCCGGCACCACCGCGGUUCCCAGCUGUUAUCCGCAUGGUGGAAGGUUUCCCAGCUCCCGGCACCACUCGGUGCAGGGCCGAGACACAUUCCCGGCACCGCUGCAGCUCCCAGCUGUUAUCCGCAUGCCAGUGGGUUUCCCAGCUCCUGGCACCACUCGGUGCAGGGCUGAGACACAUUCCCAGCACUGCUGCAGCUCCCGGCUAUUAUCCGCAUGCUGGUGGGUUUCCCAGCUCCCGGCACUGCUCGGUGCAUGGCCGAGACACAUUGCCGGCACCACUGCGGCUCCCGGCUAUUAUCCACACAGUGGUGGGUUUCCCAGCUCCCGGCACUGCUCAGCUCCCGGCAGAGCCACACUCCCAGCACCGCCAUGGGUCGCUGCGAGCCGGGACUGGGGCAGGGACAGGCGGGCUCGGCG
RNAcentral lists this long non-coding RNA (1492 nucleotides) under Apteryx haastii (Great spotted kiwi). RNAcentral describes it as "lncRNA (ENSAHAG00000006338.1)". Lineage: Eukaryota; Metazoa; Chordata; Aves; Apterygiformes; Apterygidae. The record is from RNAcentral.